This is a non-coding RNA of Pelobates cultripes (western spadefoot toad), 227 nucleotides long. Lineage: Eukaryota; Metazoa; Chordata; Amphibia; Anura; Pelobatidae. The record is from the annotation of a GenBank genome assembly.
CAAAGCUUCUAAGCUCUCGGCCCUGGAGCAGUUGAUGUAGGUGUGUGAUGCCGUAUCGGUGCCACAGUGUAUAAUUGAAAUUGGGAAUUACAUAGUGUAGUGUUUUUAGUGGUGUUGUGGGUAACGUUUUACCAUUCCAACCUAGUUUGCUACAGUAGUUGUUCCAGACAUGUAGCACCUUGGUGGGGAGCAUCGAGCUGUUCGCAGGCCUGAUGGGAAUAUUAUUG